This 496-nucleotide ribosomal RNA is filed under the name uncultured bacterium. RNAcentral describes it as "partial 16S ribosomal RNA". It matches the Rfam family "Bacterial small subunit ribosomal RNA", at positions 28 to 506 of the family's 1533-position model. The record is from RNAcentral.
GACGAACGCUGGCGGCGUGCCUAAUACAUGCAAGUUGAGCGCUGAAGGUUGGUACUUGUACCAACUGGAUGAGCAGCGAACGGGUGAGUAACGCGUGGGGAAUCUGCCUUUGAGCGGGGGACAACAUUUGGAAACGAAUGCUAAUACCGCAUAAAAACUUUAAACACAAGUUUUAAGUUUGAAAGAUGCAAUUGCAUCACUCAAAGAUGAUCCCGCGUUGUAUUAGCUAGUUGGUGAGGUAAAGGCUCACCAAGGCGAUGAUACAUAGCCGACCUGAGAGGGUGAUAGGCCACAUUAGGACUGAGACACGGCCCAAACUCCUACGGGAGGCAGCAGUAGGGAAUCGUCGGCAAUGGACGAAAGUCUGACCGAGCAACGCCGCGUGAGUGAAGAAGGUUUUCGGAUCGUAAAACUCUGUUGGUAGAGAAGAACGUUGGUGAGAGUGGAAAGCUCAUCAAGUGACGGAAACGACCCAGAAAGGGACGGCUAACUACGU